Molecule: ribosomal RNA, 374 nt
Filed under: uncultured bacterium
Lineage: Bacteria
Description: bacterial SSU rRNA
Rfam family: Bacterial small subunit ribosomal RNA
Source: RNAcentral
AUACGUAGGGUGCAAGCGUUAAUCGGAAUUACUGGGCGUAAAGCGUGCGCAGGCGGUUAUAUAAGACAGAGGUGAAAUUCCCGGGCUCAACCUGGGGAUUGCCUUUGUGACUGUAUAGCUAGAGUACGGCAGAGGGGGAUGGAAUUCCGCGUGUAGCAGUGAAAUGCGUAGAUAUGCGGAGGAACACCGAUGGCGAAGGCACUCCCCUGGGCCUGUACUGACGCUCAUGCACGAAAGCGUGGGGAGCAAACAGGAUUAGAUACCCUGGUAGUCCACGCCCUAAACGAUGUCAACUGGUUGUUGGGUCUUCACUGACUCAGUAACGAAGCUAACGCGUGAAGUUGACCGCCUGGGGAGUACGGCCGCAAGGUUGA